UCCUACGGGAGGCAGCAGUGGGGAAUAUUGCACAAUGGAGGAAACCCUGAUGCAGCGACGCCGCGUGAGUGAUGAAGGUUUUCGAGAUCGUAAAGCUCUGUCCUAGAGGGACGAUAAUGACGGUACCUUAGGAGGAAGCCCCGGCUAACUACGUGCCAGCAGCCGCGGUAAUA
RNAcentral lists this ribosomal RNA (173 nucleotides) under uncultured bacterium. RNAcentral describes it as "partial 16S ribosomal RNA". It matches the Rfam family "Bacterial small subunit ribosomal RNA", at positions 337 to 525 of the family's 1533-position model. The record is from RNAcentral.